RNAcentral lists this ribosomal RNA (406 nucleotides) under uncultured bacterium. RNAcentral's name for it is "partial 16S ribosomal RNA". It matches the Rfam family "Bacterial small subunit ribosomal RNA", at positions 30 to 526 of the family's 1533-position model. The record is from RNAcentral.
AUUGAACGCUGGCGGCAGGCCUAACACAUGCAAGUCGAACGAGUGGCGGACGGGUGAGUAAUGUCUGGGAAUCUGCCUGAUGGAGGGGGAUCACUACUGGAAACGGUAGCUAAUACCGCAUACCAUCGUAUGAUCCCAGGUGGGAUUGUCUAGUAGGUGUGGUAAAGGCUAACCAAGGCGACGAUCCCUAGCUUGUCUGACAGGAUGACAAGCCACAUUGUAACUGAGACACGGACCAGACUCCUACGGAAGGCAGCAGUGGGGAAUAUUGCGAAAUGGGGGAAAUCCUGAUGCAGCAAUGCCGCGUGUAUGAAGAAGGCCUUCGGGUUGUAAAGUACUUUCAGCGGGGAGGCGUUACCCGAAGAGAAAGCAACGGCUAACUCCGUGCCAGCAGCCGCGGUAAGUC